Molecule: ribosomal RNA, 314 nt
Filed under: Coryphella verrucosa
Lineage: Eukaryota; Metazoa; Mollusca; Gastropoda; Nudibranchia; Coryphellidae
Description: partial large subunit ribosomal RNA
Source: RNAcentral
AAACCGGGUUUAGCUGUCUCCCAACUAUUUUCUUGAAUUUACUGUUUAAGUGAAAAAGCUUAAAAAUGAUAAAGGGACGAGAAGACCCUUAGAAUUUUUUUUAAAAUGGAAAUUUUUCUAUAAUAAUUUUGUUGGGGCGACAGAGAAAUAUUUAAAACUUUCUUUAAAUUUACAUGCCGAUAUUGUUAAGUAAGAAUAAAUUACCUGAGGGAUAACAGCAUAAUUCUAUAGUUGAGUUUGUGACCUCGAUGUUGGACUAGGAAACUAACAGGCUAGCCGUUUGUUGUGUGGGUUCUGUUCGAACUCUAAUUCCU